UAGUCAGCAACUAUCGGCCUAUAUCGAACCUGCUCUUUCUGUCCAAGGUACAGGAAAGGAUUGUAGCAAAGCAAAUCGUCGAGUAUCUGACGGGGAACAAUCUCUUCAUACCCUUCCAGUGGGGAUUCAGGAAUUUCCACUCAACUGAAGCUGCUGUGACAAGAGUGCGCAUGCACACCAGGUAGCAGAUUAUCGCUCAGCCGAGGGAAGGAGAGGCGUUGAUGGCAUCAGCGCGUCAAGGUCGGCCACAGCGGCUGUCGGAGUCGGCCUGUAUGCUGCAGUCUGCCCUCACACAAAGACAACACAAGGACUGCACACACACUUACUUCAACCGUUGGAAACAUCAAGGCCACUUUAAAAGGGAGAAAUGCUAAUCUUUUGGGACGUAAUGAUUGUCAGUUAAGCAGCGCGUUAAGAGUGAAUUACCGACUCAAUUUGUGUAUUUAAAUUCAGACAUGAUUAAUUGGUUUUCUCGAAUGGAAACGCCAACCUAAACCCCCACCCACGAGCCCUCUCCUAAAUGUCUUAAGGAGAACAGCAUAUGCCUGCUGCUGUUCGUGUCUGAAGUCAGGCAAUAAUCAACGUCAGCAGAGAUUUUGAGGAACUCAUUUUAGUGGAAUACAUAUUCGCUGGGGAAUUUGAAAAUAUAGUUCAUGGUUGCAAAUGAAAUGCAAUAGUCUACUGCAAAAUAAAUGUAACAUGCAUUGUC
This is a long non-coding RNA of Gadus morhua (Atlantic cod), 709 nucleotides long. RefSeq lists it as uncharacterized. NCBI's taxonomy places the organism in Eukaryota, Metazoa, Chordata, Actinopteri, Gadiformes, Gadidae. The record is from RefSeq and is a predicted model, not a curated record. The transcript has 2 exons.